GGAGAAUAUGAGCAUAUCAGGGAAUGUAUGCACUCUCAGACCUACCCUGGUGUGGGCUCCAUGGUACAUCCUCCGUGGAGGAUGGAUUGAGAUCUCAGGGUCCUGGCUUUAUCUUGAAAGUAGACAUAGGUAUCAAGCCUUGACUCCUUCUGCAUUUAAAAAUCCUUCUAUCUCAUUGGCUACCUUUGCUCUCAUUUCUAAUUGGAACUAAGGAGAGAGACAGAGCAUGAACGGGGGAGGGGGCAGAGAGAGAGGGAGA
Long non-coding RNA from Herpailurus yagouaroundi (jaguarundi), 259 nucleotides. RefSeq lists it as uncharacterized. The transcript is spliced from 3 exons. Lineage: Eukaryota; Metazoa; Chordata; Mammalia; Carnivora; Felidae. The record is from RefSeq and is a predicted model, not a curated record.